RNAcentral lists this ribosomal RNA (484 nucleotides) under uncultured bacterium. Its description in RNAcentral is "partial 16S ribosomal RNA". It matches the Rfam family "Bacterial small subunit ribosomal RNA", at positions 30 to 507 of the family's 1533-position model. The record is from RNAcentral.
AUUGAACGCUGGCGGCAUGCCUAACACAUGCAAGUCGAGCGGAGGAAGGGGGCUUUCUCCUUGCUUCAGCGACUUACGGGUGAGUAAUUCCUAGGAAUCUGCCUUGUAUUGUGGGAUAACGUCCGUAAACGGACCCUAAUACCGCAUCCGUCCUGAGUGGGAAAGUCGUGGAUCUUCUUACCUCACGCUAUCAGCUCAACCUAGGUGGGAUUCUCUAGUGGGUUGGGUAAAGGCCUACCAAGUCGACCAUCCGUACCGGGUCGCAGAGGAUGAUCAGUAAAACUGGAAUGGAGACACGGUCCAGACUCCUACGGGGGGAAGCAGAGGGGAAUAUUGGAAAAUGGGGGAAAGCUUGCUCCAGACAGGCGGGGUGUGUGAAGAAGGUCUUCGGAUUGUAAAGUACGUUAAGUGGGGAGGAAGGGCAGUAAGUUAAUAACUUGAUGUUUUGACGUUAGCAAAAGAAUAAGCAACGGCUAACUUCGUG